ACGGGUAAGCUGGGAUAAAAAUGGGUGCUAAUCAAUUUCGCAAAAGGCCGGUUAAGCGGCCCUCUCACGGCGCAAACAGGGGUUCGAUUCCCCUUGGGCGUACCA
RNAcentral lists this transfer RNA (105 nucleotides) under Phyllobacterium endophyticum. Its description in RNAcentral is "tRNA-Ser". Lineage: Bacteria; Pseudomonadati; Pseudomonadota; Alphaproteobacteria; Hyphomicrobiales; Phyllobacteriaceae. The record is from RNAcentral.